AUUGAACGCUGGCGGAAUGCUUUACACAUGCAAGUCGAACGGCAGCACGGGUGCUUGCACCUGGUGGCGAGUGGCGAACGGGUGAGUAAUACAUCGGAACGUACCCAGUCGUGGGGGAUAACUAACCGAAAGGUUAGCUAAUACCGCAUACGCCCUGAGGGGGAAAGCGGGGGACCGUAAGGCCUCGCGCGAUUGGAGCGGCCGAUGUCUGAUUAGCUAGUUGGUGAGGUAAAGGCUCACCAAGCCGACGAUCAGUAGCUGGUCUGAGAGGAUGAUCAGCCACACUGGAACUGAGACACGGUCCAGACUCCUACGGGAGGCAGCAGUGGGGAAUUUUGGACAAUGGGGGAAACCCUGAUCCAGCCAUUCCGCGUGAGUGAAGAAGGCCUUCGGGUUGUAAAGCUCUUUCGGCAGGGAAGAAACGCUCUGGGUUAAUAACCCGGGGUAAUGACGGUACCUGAAGAAGAAGCACCGGCUAACUACGUGCCAGCAGCCGCAGUAA
This 502-nucleotide ribosomal RNA is filed under the name uncultured bacterium. Its description in RNAcentral is "partial 16S ribosomal RNA". It matches the Rfam family "Bacterial small subunit ribosomal RNA", at positions 30 to 523 of the family's 1533-position model. The record is from RNAcentral.